This 361-nucleotide ribosomal RNA is filed under the name Bacillus zanthoxyli. RNAcentral's name for it is "bacterial SSU rRNA". It matches the Rfam family "Bacterial small subunit ribosomal RNA", at positions 895 to 1255 of the family's 1533-position model. The record is from RNAcentral. Lineage: Bacteria; Bacillati; Bacillota; Bacilli; Caryophanales; Bacillaceae.
UGAAACUCAAAGGAAUUGACGGGGGCCCGCACAAGCGGUGGAGCAUGUGGUUUAAUUCGAAGCAACGCGAAGAACCUUACCAGGUCUUGACAUCCUCUGACAACUCUAGAGAUAGAGCGUUCCCCUUCGGGGGACAGAGUGACAGGUGGUGCAUGGUUGUCGUCAGCUCGUGUCGUGAGAUGUUGGGUUAAGUCCCGCAACGAGCGCAACCCUUGAUCUUAGUUGCCAGCAUUUAGUUGGGCACUCUAAGGUGACUGCCGGUGACAAACCGGAGGAAGGUGGGGAUGACGUCAAAUCAUCAUGCCCCUUAUGACCUGGGCUACACACGUGCUACAAUGGAUGGUACAAAGGGCUGCAAGAC